This 930-nucleotide long non-coding RNA is filed under the name Pan troglodytes (chimpanzee). RNAcentral's name for it is "lincRNA". The record is from RNAcentral. Lineage: Eukaryota; Metazoa; Chordata; Mammalia; Primates; Hominidae.
CAAGGCAGGUGGAUCACAAGGUCAGGAGAUCAAGACCAUCCUCCUGGCUAACAAGGUGAAACCCUGUCUCGUCUCUACUAAAAAAAAUACAAAAAAUUAGCCGGGCGUGGUGGCAUGUACCUGUAGUCCCAGCUACUCAGGAGGCUGAGGCAGGAAAAUCGCUUGAACCCAGGAAGUGGAGGUUGCAGUGAGCCAAGAUCAUACCACUGCACUCCAGCCUGGGCGACAGAGGGAGACUCCGUCUCAAAAAGAAAAAAAGCAAUAAAUGCUCUUCCAGAAAACUCAAAAAUGAAGAUAAGCUAAAAGAAAAUGGAAAGCACCAGAAUACCAGAAUCUUUCCACUCACUGAUGAUCAGAGUUAAUACCUCAGUGUCUUCUGUGGCUUCAGCGUCACCUAGUGCAGGCUGCCAUUCAACAAACGCAUUGUCAACAGUCAACCAAAAGAAACCCAUUGGCCACCAUACCCUGAGGACUAACCCUGACACAGAUGCCCUUCCAGAUGCCCUCAAUAGUCUAACUGAUUCCAUCGCCCCAGCCUUGGGGGAGAAGCACUGCUGCCUAUGCACUCCAUUUACAGGGUUAUAGAGUGGAAAGUCCCACAAUCUUUUUCUUCUCUAUUUUCAGAAAAACGUUGACCUCUUGGUGAGAAUGUAAAGAAGGGAACGCUUGCUUAUACACUGUUGGUGAACUGUCACCCCUACAACUCAGCUUGCAACCAGCCCUGGCCACCACCAGUUUCCCCACACUGAGCUGAAUAUUGGACAUGCCCAUCUUAGGCAUUCCAGCCCAUUCUGAAAUUCCACAUCGAUUCACCCGACAAAGUCUGAAGUUCCAGGGCAAUUUAUCUGGAAAAGCUCACCUGGAAUCACGUGUCAUUUCAACCAACAACUGUUGAAGAGGACGUGGCAUUAAAACCAAGGGUAUCAAUUA